This 29-nucleotide non-coding RNA is filed under the name Rattus norvegicus (Norway rat). The record is from RNAcentral. Lineage: Eukaryota; Metazoa; Chordata; Mammalia; Rodentia; Muridae.
UCCAUGUGUGGACUCGGGAAGCCCUGGUU